CUUUCACUGACUGUGGGGCAGGGUUUCUCUGUGUAGCUUUGGAGCCUAUCCUGGCACUCGCUCUGGAGACCAGGCUGGCCUCGAACUCACAGAGAUCUGCCUGCCUCUGCCUCCUGAGUGCUGGGAUUAAAGGCGUGUGCCACCACAUCCACCCCUACUUGUUGGUCAUGUGUAUACACAGACCUGUGUCAUGGUGGAGAUGGAACCCAGGCCUUCCAUAUUCCAGUUUAUAAUGUCAGACAGACUGCCAGAUCCGGACAGUGACCCAAAGUCUCCAAAGAAGAUUACGAGGCACCUCAGUUCCUGCACCUGGACCAGUGAGCGAGAUGCUCAGAUGUGAUACCUGCCGCCUGCCAGGACCUGGCCGAGACUGUGGACAAAGCUGCUGGACACUGGAAAAUUGAUUGCACCCCUUUGCCUAGACAAAACAAGGUCAGUCUUUUCCAUGUCCCUCUUCCACAGAGAGGAAAAAAAAACUCUCACAGUAUAGGCCUGGCGAAGAUUGCUGUUCUUUGAGACAGCUGCCUCCAACGGUAAUGGAGAAACUUGGGUUUGGCUAACUGUAUAUAGACUGGCUUCUAACUGGCUUCUGUCACUUUUUAGUAGAUUCGGACAAAAUAUACCCUUCUCAGAUCUCUGAAAUAUUACUGGUUGUCAGCUUGACAGCAUCAGGCAGUCAGGUCCACUAUAGACUAGUCAGUAUGUUAGCUAAUAAAAUAGUAACUAUCUACUGUUCAGGCACGAGCUCAAAGUUUUUAAGUUUAUUUUGGUUGUCAUCUAAGUACAAACUUAAAGGGCUUUUCAUCAGGCCAAAGGCACCUCUGUCCAAUCCAUACCUGGCUCUCUGGACAGAAGAGAAAUGUACAUGCUUAUAGCCC
Molecule: long non-coding RNA, 878 nt
Filed under: Cricetulus griseus (Chinese hamster)
Lineage: Eukaryota; Metazoa; Chordata; Mammalia; Rodentia; Cricetidae
Description: lncRNA (ENSCGRG00015026783.2)
Source: RNAcentral